This 411-nucleotide ribosomal RNA is filed under the name uncultured bacterium. Its description in RNAcentral is "bacterial SSU rRNA". It matches the Rfam family "Bacterial small subunit ribosomal RNA", at positions 362 to 770 of the family's 1533-position model. The record is from RNAcentral.
UAUUGGUCAAUGGCCGCAGGGCUGAACCAGCCAAGUCGCGUGAGGGAUGACGGUCCUAUGGAUUGUAAACCUCUUUUGUCAGGGAGCAAAGGACGACACGUGUGGUGUUUUUGCGAGUACCUGAAGAAAAAGCAUCGGCUAACUCCGUGCCAGCAGCCGCGGUAAUACGGAGGAUGCGAGCGUUAUCCGGAUUUAUUGGGUUUAAAGGGUGCGCAGGCGGUCUGUUAAGUCAGCGGUCAAAGCCCGGGGCUCAACCCCGGCCCGCCGUUGAAACUGGCAGUCUCGAGUUGGAGAGAAGUAUGCGGAAUGCGCGGUGUAGCGGUGAAAUGCAUAGAUAUCGCGCAGAACUCCGAUUGCGAAGGCAGCAUGCCGGCUCCACACUGACGCUGAGGCACGAAAGCGUGGGUAUCG